Molecule: ribosomal RNA, 531 nt
Filed under: uncultured bacterium
Lineage: Bacteria
Description: bacterial SSU rRNA
Rfam family: Bacterial small subunit ribosomal RNA
Source: RNAcentral
UGGGGAAUAUUGCACAAUGGGCGAAAGCCUGAUGCAGCGACGCCGCGUGAGGGAUGACGGCCUUCGGGUUGUAAACCUCUUUCGACAGGGACGAAGCGCAAGUGACGGUACCUGUAGAAGAAGCACCGGCCAACUACGUGCCAGCAGCCGCGGUAAUACGUAGGGUGCGAGCGUUGUCCGGAAUUACUGGGCGUAAAGAGCUUGUAGGCGGUUUGUCGCGUCGUCUGUGAAAACUCACAGCUCAACUGUGAGCUUGCAGGCGAUACGGGCAGACUUGAGUACUGCAGGGGAGACUGGAAUUCCUGGUGUAGCGGUGAAAUGCGCAGAUAUCAGGAGGAACACCGGUGGCGAAGGCGGGUCUCUGGGCAGUAACUGACGCUGAGAAGCGAAAGCGUGGGUAGCGAACAGGAUUAGAUACCCUGGUAGUCCACGCCGUAAACGGUGGGUACUAGGUGUGGGUUUCCUUCCACGGGAUCCGUGCCGUAGCUAACGCAUUAAGUACCUCGCCUGGGGAGUACGGCCGCAAGGCUA